This 76-nucleotide transfer RNA is filed under the name Bacteroidota bacterium. Its description in RNAcentral is "Bacteroidetes bacterium (marine metagenome) tRNA-Glu". It matches the Rfam family "tRNA". From Rfam's summary of the family: Transfer RNA (tRNA) molecules are approximately 80 nucleotides in length. Their secondary structure includes four short double-helical elements and three loops (D, anti-codon, and T loops). Further hydrogen bonds mediate the characteristic L-shaped molecular structure. tRNAs have two regions of fundamental functional importance: the anti-codon, which is responsible for specific mRNA codon recognition, and the 3' end, to which the tRNAs corresponding amino acid is attached (by aminoacyl-tRNA synthetases). tRNAs cope with the degeneracy of the genetic code in two manners: having more than one tRNA (with a specific anti-codon) for a particular amino acid; and 'wobble' base-pairing, i.e. permitting non-standard base-pairing at the 3rd anti-codon position. Lineage: Bacteria; Pseudomonadati; Bacteroidota. The record is from RNAcentral.
GACCCCAUCGUCUAGCGGCCUAGGACUCCGGGUUUUCAUCCCGGCAACAGGGGUUCGAGUCCCCUUGGGGUCACCC